AGCGUACACGGUGGAUGCCCUGGCAGUCAGAGGCGAUGAAGGACGUGCUAAUCUGCGAUAAGCGUCGGUAAGGUGAUAUGAACCGUUAUAACCGGCGAUUUCCGAAUGGGGAAACCCAGUGUGAUUCGUCACACUAUCAUUAACUGAAUCCAUAGGUUAAUGAGGCGAACCGGGGGAACUGAAACAUCUAAGUACCCCGAGGAAAAGAAAUCAACCGAGAUUCCCCCAGUAGCGGCGAGCGAACGGGGAGCAGCCCAGAGCCUGAAUCAGUGUGUGUGUUAGUGGAAGCGUCUGGAAAGGCGCGCGAUACAGGGUGACAGCCCCGUACACAAAAAUGCACAUACUGUGAGCUCGAUGAGUAGGGCGGGACACGUGGUAUCCUGUCUGAAUAUGGGGGGACCAUCCUCCAAGGCUAAAUACUCCUGACUGACCGAUAGUGAACCAGUACCGUGAGGGAAAGGCGAAAAGAACCCCGGCGAGGGGAGUGAAAAAGAACCUGAAACCGUGUACGUACAAGCAGUGGGAGCACAGAGCAAUCUGUGUGACUGCGUACCUUUUGUAUAAUGGGUCAGCGACUUAUAUUCUGUAGCAAGGUUAACCGAAUAGGGGAGCCGAAGGGAAACCGAGUCUUAACUGGGCGUUAAGUUGCAGGGUAUAGACCCGAAACCCGGUGAUCUAGCCAUGGGCAGGUUGAAGGUUGGGUAACACUAACUGGAGGACCGAACCGACUAAUGUUGAAAAAUUAGCGGAUGACUUGUGGCUGGGGGUGAAAGGCCAAUCAAACCGGGAGAUAGCUGGUUCUCCCCGAAAGCUAUUUAGGUAGCGCCUCGUGAAUUCAUCUCCGGGGGUAGAGCACUGUUUCGGCAAGGGGGUCAUCCCGACUUACCAACCCGAUGCAAACUGCGAAUACCGGAGAAUGUUAUCACGGGAGACACACGGCGGGUGCUAACGUCCGUCGUGAAGAGGGAAACAACCCAGACCGCCAGCUAAGGUCCCAAAGUCAUGGUUAAGUGGGAAACGAUGUGGGAAGGCCCAGACAGCCAGGAUGUUGGCUUAGAAGCAGCCAUCAUUUAAAGAAAGCGUAAUAGCUCACUGGUCGAGUCGGCCUGCGCGGAAGAUGUAACGGGGCUAAACCAUGCACCGAAGCUGCGGCAGCGACGCUUAUGCGUUGUUGGGUAGGGGAGCGUUCUGUAAGCCUGCGAAGGUGUGCUGUGAGGCAUGCUGGAGGUAUCAGAAGUGCGAAUGCUGACAUAAGUAACGAUAAAGCGGGUGAAAAGCCCGCUCGCCGGAAGACCAAGGGUUCCUGUCCAACGUUAAUCGGGGCAGGGUGAGUCGACCCCUAAGGCGAGGCCGAAAGGCGUAGUCGAUGGGAAACAGGUUAAUAUUCCUGUACUUGGUGUUACUGCGAAGGGGGGACGGAGAAGGCUAUGUUGGCCGGGCGACGGUUGUCCCGGUUUAAGCGUGUAGGCUGGUUUUCCAGGCAAAUCCGGAAAAUCAAGGCUGAGGCGUGAUGACGAGGCACUACGGUGCUGAAGCAACAAAUGCCCUGCUUCCAGGAAAAGCCUCUAAGCAUCAGGUAACAUCAAAUCGUACCCCAAACCGACACAGGUGGUCAGGUAGAGAAUACCAAGGCGCUUGAGAGAACUCGGGUGAAGGAACUAGGCAAAAUGGUGCCGUAACUUCGGGAGAAGGCACGCUGAUAUGUAGGUGAAGUCCCUCGCGGAUGGAGCUGAAAUCAGUCGAAGAUACCAGCUGGCUGCAACUGUUUAUUAAAAACACAGCACUGUGCAAACACGAAAGUGGACGUAUACGGUGUGACGCCUGCCCGGUGCCGGAAGGUUAAUUGAUGGGGUUAGCGCAAGCGAAGCUCUUGAUCGAAGCCCCGGUAAACGGCGGCCGUAACUAUAACGGUCCUAAGGUAGCGAAAUUCCUUGUCGGGUAAGUUCCGACCUGCACGAAUGGCGUAAUGAUGGCCAGGCUGUCUCCACCCGAGACUCAGUGAAAUUGAACUCGCUGUGAAGAUGCAGUGUACCCGCGGCAAGACGGAAAGACCCCGUGAACCUUUACUAUAGCUUGACACUGAACAUUGAGCCUUGAUGUGUAGGAUAGGUGGGAGGCUUUGAAGUGUGGACGCCAGUCUGCAUGGAGCCGACCUUGAAAUACCACCCUUUAAUGUUUGAUGUUCUAACGUUGACCCGUGAUCCGGGUUGCGGACAGUGUCUGGUGGGUAGUUUGACUGGGGCGGUCUCCUCCUAAAGAGUAACGGAGGAGCACGAAGGUUGGCUAAUCCUGGUCGGACAUCAGGAGGUUAGUGCAAUGGCAUAAGCCAGCUUGACUGCGAGCGUGACGGCGCGAGCAGGUGCGAAAGCAGGUCAUAGUGAUCCGGUGGUUCUGAAUGGAAGGGCCAUCGCUCAACGGAUAAAAGGUACUCCGGGGAUAACAGGCUGAUACCGCCCAAGAGUUCAUAUCGACGGCGGUGUUUGGCACCUCGAUGUCGGCUCAUCACAUCCUGGGGCUGAAGUAGGUCCCAAGGGUAUGGCUGUUCGCCAUUUAAAGUGGUACGCGAGCUGGGUUUAGAACGUCGUGAGACAGUUCGGUCCCUAUCUGCCGUGGGCGCUGGAGAAUUGAGGGGGGCUGCUCCUAGUACGAGAGGACCGGAGUGGACGCAUCACUGGUGUUCGGGUUGUCAUGCCAAUGGCACUGCCCGGUAGCUAAAUGCGGAAGAGAUAAGUGCUGAAAGCAUCUAAGCACGAAACUUGCCCCGAGAUGAGUUCU
Molecule: ribosomal RNA, 2775 nt
Filed under: Escherichia coli
Lineage: Bacteria; Pseudomonadati; Pseudomonadota; Gammaproteobacteria; Enterobacterales; Enterobacteriaceae
Description: bacterial LSU rRNA
Rfam family: Bacterial large subunit ribosomal RNA
Source: RNAcentral